This 378-nucleotide ribosomal RNA is filed under the name uncultured eukaryote. RNAcentral describes it as "partial 18S ribosomal RNA". It matches the Rfam family "Eukaryotic small subunit ribosomal RNA", at positions 592 to 976 of the family's 1831-position model. The record is from RNAcentral.
CAAUAGCGUAUAUUUAAGUUGUUGCAGUUAAAAAGCUCGUAGUUGGAUUUCGGGUGGGACGCAGCGGUCUCGCAUUGCGUUUGUACUGCUGCAGCCCUCCUUCUUGCCGGGGGCGGCCUCUCGGACUUCACUGUCUGGGGGUCAGAAUCGGCGAUGUUACUUUGAGUAAAUUAGAGUGUUCAAAGCAAGCUUACGCUCUGAAUAUAAUAGCAUGGGAUAACACGACAGGACUCUGGCCUAUCGUGUUGGUCUAUAGGACCAGAGUAAUGAUUAAGAGGGACAGUCGGGGGCAUUCGUAUUCCGUUGUCAGAGGUGAAAUUCUUGGAUUUACGGAAGACGAACAUCUGCGAAGGCAUUUGCCAAGGAUGUUUUCAUUGA